Molecule: long non-coding RNA, 6907 nt
Organism: Prionailurus viverrinus (fishing cat)
Lineage: Eukaryota; Metazoa; Chordata; Mammalia; Carnivora; Felidae
Exons: 3
Source: RefSeq, a predicted model, not a curated record
GUCAGGGAAGCAGGUGGGGGGGGGAGGGGGUAAAUGUAGUUUUCUCUCAGAUUAUACUAUGUUUCUCUAGCUGAAUCGAUCCAUUCAUUAUCUUAUUCACUAGGGGCAAGCAAUUGUGCCCUAUGGUAACAGCCUGAAAGAGUAGACUAUUCUAAGCAUUCUUAGGAUCAUAAUCCUCCUGAUCCUAUACAGUUUAUGGUAAUCAUCCCCAAAAGUUUAUGAAGGGUAAAAUAUACUAAAAUCUACACAUUCAUGAGCUAUGGCCACAGUACCACCUCCCACUAGGAGGAUUGGUGGCCACAGGGACACACUGACCCCUUCAAGAACACCAAAAUACAUGUAAAGAAAGAGAUUGGCAUGUUCAGAUCGUGUACAGUUUAAUCCAUUACAGUUUACCAGUCCAGAGUUCAAAAGAUGACCACAGUUCUCAAGCUUUCAGGCUAAUCUGAAUAUGUGAUAAGUGAUAGAAAUUAACCCCAUUAACCCAUGCCAAUUAGCUACAUGCUAGCAUGGUUCCACCUCCCGUUGGUUGGUGCCACAGUGACUGAAAAGUAGGGUUUUAGAUGUAUGCUGUAAGAAUCCAGGAAUUUCAGUGCUGGACAAAAGUAAUUCCUUAAUGGGGUAUUGACCUUAGGUGGGGAAACAAGUGGCCAGGAUGGCAGGACUAUAUAUAGAAUUGAGGCAAGAUAGUGUGAGGACUAGAGAAAGAAAAGGCAAACGGGACUGGAAGAGGAGACUUGGUGCAUGGUUGUGAGAGUCUGACAGCUUAGAUGUUCCAGAAAAGUUAGCCCAGAGUGAUGUUUCUGUGAAAGGGGAAGUAGAGUAACAUAGGUCUGAUCACAACAUUCCUUCAGUUGAGCCCUUUGACGACUCCCAUUUAUUAGUGCAGGCUCCCCGUGACCUAGCCCAUCCUAAGUCUCCUGCCUGACCCACUGCCUAUCCCUGGCAAUCAAAUUUCUGUGACAGCAAACUGCAUCCCAUUGGCCUACGAGUGCAUGCGUUUUAGUAUAAUGGUUACCUGUCGUACUCGUCUGCCCAACAUCUUAUUUCUUCUCUUUUUGGGUCCUCUUGAUCUUCUCAUGAAGUACCACCCCAGCCCUGCCCACUCUAUAUGGUUCUAAUAGAGCUACAAAUCCUACAAAAGUCUUCUUGCAACCUUUCCCAUGUCUGGUUAAAAUUAUAUUCUGCUUUGUAUGAGUCCCUAUUAACACAGCUCUAUCCUAGCACUGUCUGUACUAUGGCCUGGCAAUGGGUACAGUGAUUAGCUUGGAGAUAGGCCCAUGACUGAAACUAGACUGAGCAGAGACUUUUCCAUGCGAUCUUAUUUGCUGGCCUUGAAAUGCAGAUAACCUUCUAUGGCUAUUAACUACAAUCCAAUGUGAUAUGAACAUGGAGCUCUCUGUGGCCAAACUCCACCCCUUCCUCCUGCAACAUAGAUUAUGUCCAUCUGCUAUGGGAGAGAAGGCAGCAUCCACACAUGAGCAGGGCCAAGAGUUCUGGGAGAGCUGAAGCCAGAUUUCCCAGUUACACUUUCCUUGUAUUUGUGUAAACUAUUUUGAGAUGCGUUUCUGUCCCUUGGAAAUGGAAGAGUUCAAAUUAAUGAUCACUUGACCAAAAAUAACCUCCACAUCCCUAAUGAAAAUUCUCUCUUUGAGGACAACGUCCUGUGAAGCCUUUCCUCAAUCCCCUGGUUGAAAUUAAUUACCGCUUGUGAGCCCCAUGCUGUAGUCUUUUCAGAUUGCUAUUGCAAAAAUAGCAUAACCUGGAUGCCUUAUAAACAUGUCUCACAGUUCUGGAGGCAAAGAAGUCCAAGACCAUGGCACCAGCAAUUCGGUGUCUGCUUCCUCAUUCACAUGAAGAGGAAGGGGUAAGGACUUUCUGGGAUCUCUUUUAUAAGGGCACUAAUCCCAUUUGAGAGGUCUCCACCCUGUCACCUAACCUCUUCCCAAAGGCCCCACCUCUAAACCUAUCACAUUGGGGAUUAGGUCUCAGCAUAUGAAUUUGGGAGAGACACAUGUUCAGUCCAUAGCACCCCCCUAUUAGCAAUGUAUACCUCAAUAGUUGCACUGGUUUCAUUCUUCCUUGACUUGGAGUUUGUUUAUAUAUCUAUUUUCCUCAUUUGUAAGAUCUUUAAAAGUAGAGAGCAUACCUAAAUCAUCAUUGGACCCUCCAUAGGGCAACACAUAAUAGGUUCUUAAAUUUUUUGAAUGAUAUCUAGACUACUAUGUACCAAGCUCAAUUCUAAGAACUAGGAAUAACAGUGAAUUUUAAGAUGUGAACAUUCAUGCUUUCAUGGAAUUUGCAUCCUAGUGGGAAAACUAUCUGAUGAAAAUUCAUGGGAAUUGCUGAAUUGGGAAAAACCUUGAGGAAAGGCAAACGCGACCUGGAACCAUGAGGCUCAGACAAAAGGGACCUUGCUUUUUACCACCACCAAAGAAGGCAAAAUGAGCUCUUAGGGCGUGGCAAAGGAGUGGGAAGUACGUCAGGAUAGAGUUCAAAAUAGAACUUGAGCAUACUUUUGAAAGCUAGUCCAAUUAACCGGCACCAAAUGAAUGUGGCCAGCUAGAUGCAAUUACAAGCACUCCCCAACUUGGGCCCGUGGUAACUCACUGGCAGUUUCCUACGGAGACCAAAAAUUAUUUACUUCUUGCCAUAUACUCUUCCCUAAACAUAACAAUGCAUGUUCACAUCUCUCUACCUUUAUACUUGCCAUCCUUUCACCCUGGAAUGUGUUCUUUUUUCCCAUUUAUGGGACCGUUACCUAUUUUGAAGUCAGUAAUCACUGAAUUCAUGAUUGAGAAAAAACAAAAAUCAAAAAACAGUGCUUUCUCAGUUCCUUCCAGCUGCAGAAUGUUUCUCUCUAUACUAGACAGUAAUUUAUGAUUUACCCUCUCUGCAACUGAAACAUAAUGGAAGGAGAAAAAGAUGGCAUUCGUGAGAAAUGGUAAUCGGGCAAUUAAUUUGUGUGAGAGACUAGAACAUUUUGCUUUAGUGUUUUGUUUAUAAAGAGGGGAGUGUACUCCCAAGUUUCAAAUAAAUAUUAACUUUGGGACUACAACUUUUGGGGGGGAAGGGCUAAGGUUUGUACCCAUAUAUAAGUAUGCCCCAAGGUCAGUCCUUAUACAAAACUUUGCCUCUGAUGGUUGGAGCACAUGCACUAAAGAUGACUUAUGUGGGGAAAGGACAGUGGAGGGGAAGGACAGGUCUGGGAGAGAAGCUGGUCCCACAGGUAGUGACAGUGGAAAGUUACUCAGGCAAUGGGAACAACUGGGGUGUCUUGUCUGGGGGCUGUUGGAGCCAAGUUGGAAAACAAUUGUUUCUGACACAUCAAAGCCUGGGAAUUUUUCUCAACUGGAUCUAUGGUGGUAAACAUUUGCUACCACCACCUGUUUUCAAAGUUUUCCCUGCUCAUUUUUCCCCCUCAACUGUAAAAAAGAUUUGAUAUGUCUACAUACAUAGGUAUGGAAGCCUACAGCUUGCCAAAUUUAUUAAAUCCUCACGAGUGGCUUGUAUAUAAAACCACUGUUAACCUGUACCUAGCACUGUCCUAGGAAUAUUAGAUGUAUUCCUUCAUCCCCUCACAAUACCUCUACGAGGUAAACACUGUUGUCAGGCCUUAUUUUCCAACAAGGAAACCAAGGCACAAAGGUUUAGGUAGCCGGUGCCUGGUCACACAGACACAAGAUGAUGGUGGAGCCAUGUUGUAGGGAUCCUUAAGCCUGUGCCCUGCUGCCUCUCCCGGCCUAAUGUGUGGGAAAGUGUUCCAGAUGGGCCUCAGGACCACACUCCACAUACAUAUCCGUAGGAAGAGGCCUGGGAAUUGUGACUCAGAAUUCUAGCUUACUCCCCUGCCUGUGGUCUCUAUUGCUGGUAAAAGAAAUAACCACAGUGCUUGCAAGUAGAAUAGAAAUGCGCACAUUUCACAAGAAAAAUUGAGCAAGGUGAUCACAUCCUACUUUGCCUCCUUCAGGGCUGUGAGCAGAAAAGGCUGAUGUCUUGACCAAUGGGUUGCUCAGUGAGUAUAAUCUUACCUAUAUUUCUUUCAGUACAUACAACAGCUAAAUAUUCUUGCCUAAGAAUAAAAUCAUCCUGGGAAUGGUCAAUCCACAUACCUUAGGUUUAAGAAGACUGAAAAUAACCUGUAUUAUACUCUGUCAUAAUCAUCCAGGAACCACGUUUUUAAUGGUGUUAAGUCUUUUCCAGAAUUCAGACCCUGAAAUCUUUCAGAAUAUAAGUACAAAUUAAAUAUAAAGACACACACACAGGACAUAUAUCAACAAUCCUACUUGACAGGAUUUAGACUGAACACUUUCUCAGGACCUAGGACCUCCAUAAUGAAUUUGUUCUUCUCCACUUAACUGAGAUUUGUUGAGUCCUGUGACCACAGAAUCUAAUAAUACUUCAUGUAAGUUUCAAGAUCUGGGAGCACAGUCAUGUUUGUAAAAGCGUUCCUCGUAUGACCUGGUUGAGACAAAUUCUAUCAAGGAGAAUCAUAAAAUGUGUAUUAUGUCAUUUCCUCGACUUGUAAAUGCUUUCCUAACUUCAUAUGCCUAAUUUAACAUAACAAUUUCCUUUUGCUGCCCAUUUUGCCUCACCUUUUAUUAAUUUCUCAUGUCUAAAUAGUUAAUAUUUGUAGCCUAAGGUGUGGCCAUUAUAGUGGGAGUAAAAGGCAACUGAUAGAUGACAUCACACCAUCACCAUUCUCUGUUCGGAGAGGUCUAAUCUUGUGAUUUUGGCAACACUCUUCCUGCUUAAAACAAACCAAGGAAUCAUCUAAUUAAACAGCUAUCCCAUUAAUAACUCCUCUUUAUAUUUUCAUUAGCUAGAUUUUACAACCUGUUCUCUGCCUUGAUAAUUAAAUAUUUCAUCAUCCGUAUACCUUUAAGUUCAUUGCUUAAAACUUGCCCCAUGUUUUUGCUUUUAGCCUUUGUCCUACUCUUUGGUAUGUCGCUAAACAAGCUGAGCAUUCAGUAAACUAUGCUUUCUGAUUCUUGCAUAACACUCCAGAGUACAGUAGUCUUUUUGUUUUGGAGGGACAAGCUGAAGAGUGUUCUCGUUUACGUUAUGGCAAAUAAUCUCAGAUGUUAUAUAGGUACAUAUGUACUACUACACAUUUUUAAAAUAUUUUACCUAAGUCAGCUCAUAAUUAUAUGUGGCAUUGAGAAGAAAAUGCUGACUGAAACAAAACGGUGAAAACAAUAAUAGUUUUGGAAAUGUAAUCCAAAAAUACACUCAGAUCUAUGUCAACGCGUGCUUGGGUCCUAAGUAAUUCAGUAACUCACGCAGGCUCUUUGUCAGCUCUCCCCAUGUUAACUGAGCCAGGGUGAUGGUAGGACGUGCCUGGGAUGCUGCAGAUAAUCCACUGUUUAUCAAGUCUUGGCUGACCUUUAGUAAGUGGCCAUUUGUCAAAGGAGGCAUUAAAGAUAGCUCUUAAAUCCAUUUGAUAUUUAUUUAAGAACUUGAAGAUCCUCCAGCUGGAACACCAGUGUGCCCAGGUAUGUAAUGCAAUAUUCAUAAUAGAACAUUCUCUCUCAAGUUCUUUGCCUUCCAUAAUCAAUUCACAAAGUGUCCUUCAUAUUUGCACCCUUGUGCCUGAGCAUCAGUUCAAUAAAGAACUUAUUUACAACUGCGGUACUUCUAAAAAUUGUACUCCACAAAUCCUUGGGCAGACAAAUGCCAUUGAUCCCAAUGUCACAUUCAGGAAGUCACUGAUCCAAGUACCAUAUUCAGCAAAUUCCCAGGCAUGACCAAACUUGCUAGAAAACCAAAAAGGGAAAAUCUGGGAAGUAGGCCAAGAUCCUGGGUGUCAUUGUACAACAUUCAAGCCAACUCUGGUUUCAAAAUUCCUUUGAAAUUGUUACUCCAUGAUAGGAAGGCAUUCUGUGCUUGGCCACAGAUCAUCACACAAGAAAUACAUUUGCAGAAUAGUUGCUGCACAUUGCUGGCUUUUUGCAAUAGGAAAAUUUCAUCCUUGGUAGAAGAGUAUGUUUUGUUUUUGAAUUUGUGUAAAAUCUGCUGGUGAGGCAUUACCAAAUAGUAGAUACAAAACCAGUUUAGGAUUUUUUAUCAUAUGUAAUCUUGGGCUAAUCCUUUAUCUUCUAUCUUCCCUGCUGUUUCCAAAGAUGGUGUGAAGAAUCAAUAAUUGUUAUAAGCAUCAGGAAGACAUGACUGAAAAGAACAAUAAGAAAUGUAAUCUCAAGAGACGAAAUAUGAUUGAAGAAGAAAUCAGUUUUCCUGUCUCAUUGGACAUGAUUGUGUUUAAAGGGGAAUCUUCAUGAUCACAGCAGGAAACUUCCAAAUGGACCGCUCAACCCUAAGACCUAUCUUCGCCUCCUGACUGAAGUUCCAAAGUAAAGAAAGGAUUCUUCAAGCAUUCAGACCAACAAGAUCAAAUUAUCUGCAGGGGACGUACUGACCUCAGAACCCAGUGGCAAAAGACAGAAGCAAUGACUAGCGUGUAACCCAAGAAUAUCUUAACAAAAUAAGUUGCCAUUCUAGUAGAUAGGCUUUCCAAAACAUGAAAAGGAGAGGAAACCCAGCACCCAUGAGCCUCUCUCAAAAAACUACUUAACAAUAAUAGGCUGGCAGUUAAGACAAGAAUUAAAAUAAGAAAAAAAGGAACAGAGAAGCCAUAUAAAAGGCUCUAGGUGAACACCAAAUCCACUUACAUAUAGGCCAGUACAAACUAUUGGACAGUCACUUAUGAGAAUGUUGAGGUCACAAACAUGUCAGUAUAAAAAUAAUGUAAAAGUUAGAAGGGAUGUUUAGAUGGGAGUCUUGUGAAAACAUUAUCUUCAUCUUUUACAGAAAAGGUCAAUCAAUGCUAAAAAAAAAAAAGAAAGAAAGAAAAACAUGACUUUCACAAUUGCUUCUGAAUUUUAUUUAUUUUUUUGAGAGAGAGAAUUCA